CGUCCGCCUGCCCGAGCCAUCAACGCCGCCAAGAUUAUUCAGUUAGGAUUUUGCUUCUCUGUUACUCUUCUCAGUUUUACUUAGAAUAAUAGCAAAACCUAUAGAAAUUGAUUUUGCUUACUAUCCUUCCGGUUAAAUUAUUUGAUUUGGUAUCUAAAUAUCUUCUAUCAGUGCUUGCAACUUUUUAGCAUUCAAAAAUUUGGGGUCAGGGUUGCAGGGUCAGUCACAUGUUGGACAUGGUUGAACUAUGCUUCUCUGAGGCAGCUCUGAUCUAUUACGUGCUUAAUGAUUUCUGAAGGCCUUAUCUGUACAUCCCAGUAAAGAAAUUGAUGAUUGAUGUGUACCCUAUUUUGCCAUCUCUACUAAUAUGCAGGGAUGAAAUAAUCAAGGACUUGCCCUUGCUUUGUUGCUACUGAAUUGGCCACGUCUUCAUUGAAUAAGUUAAGAAGUUAUCACAUGGCACUUUUACUAAUAUGCAGUACUUAUUUUGUGAUGUAGCAUGUAGAAAACCUUAUAUCUUUACUGUUAUUACGCAAUACAUCGUAUAUGAUUUUCCAUCAACAGUAUGUUCUACUCUGUGUCUAUUUGUGGGAGUUAGUAAAGUUAAUUAAAAUUUACAUGCUUUGAUUAUUCGCUGCAGAUUCUAAGAGUGGAAAACUAAUAUUGGAUGAGGCUGUUUUUCUCUCGGAUUAAAAAAAGAAACAGAUAGUAACUUCGGAUCUCAUGCUUUGAAGCUCAUAAUACAUGUGACUUGACUUGAAGUUGGUGUCAAUGCAAAGGGAUCAAGAGUCACUGUUCUGACGGCCAAUAAUAUGAUGCAUGAAAAUUCCUUCAGCAACCCAAAUAAUGUUGUGUUGACUACCGAUGGGCAACAAGCCAUGAUGCUAAAAUUUAGUUUGUUCAACUUUUUGUAAAGAAGCCAACCUUUUGCUAGCUGUUGUUGAGACUUAUAGGUACUUCACAAUUUCUUCUGUGGUCAUUGUGCUUCUUGUAGAGUAGUAGCAGCACCUCUUCUGGCAGGAGCAGUGGUAUUGGCUUGUAGAGUAGUUACAGGACGAGGGUAUUGUGGCAUCGACAUAUGGUGGCAGAGCUAUGCAUAGAUAUGAGGACCAAUGGAUAUGUGUGCAUCAUCGACCUGCUCAAACUCUCCAUAUCUUUGCAAAUCGCAAUCCCACGAUGUGGACGAGAUCUUGGAGGUAUUAGCAAUACUGCUUCAUGAUUUUAUUCUAUAUUGAUGAACUAUUGUCGAACUUAUUAGGCUCUCAGUGCUACAUGCUUUUCCAAUCUAUUGGAUAACAAGUAGAGGUUUAAAAUAUAAAAUUUAUUUUAUAUCUUGGAGAAUGAUGGCAAGCUGUUGAUCGAAGCAAGCCAAGGGCACACGAACUACAAGCCACUUGCACCGGAGGUUGUUUGACAGCAAAAUCGAAGCAAUAAGUCGCAGGUCGCCGUGAAAAACUGGAGCUACUCCGUGAUCCGGCCUGUUUGGGCUUCAUUCGUGAGGACGCCGCGGCCGACCGCAGACGACGCGGCUGGAGCGGGCAAGAUUGAGCUUUGCGGGAUGCUGGGGUCGAUAGGAUGAUACUACUACAGUUGAAGCAAAGCGAGAGCAAAGACCUGAUGCGCGAGCAGGAGCACAAGCACGAACACGAUUACACCCAGCCAGGCGCGGAAGCUGGCAAGGGAGUCUGGGGAAUAUGCUGUUGGGAACUUGGAAUGUGCGGAUGCUCGGGGCGAGAGCGAUGCGGAGCUAAUCAUAAUUCUGUAACAAUACAAAAAUUUAGACUUGUGAGUCCAUCACCAAGUCGUUGUAGUAUAGUGGUGAGUAUUCCCGCCUGUCACGCGGGUGACCCGGGUUCGAUCCCCGGCAACGGCGUUUAUUUUUUUUUGCUUGCUACUGUUACGUUCACUCUUUGGUUUUUUUUGUCACAUAUCUUCCAGAAAGCUUACGUCUUCCAUA
This is a long non-coding RNA of Sorghum bicolor (sorghum), 1957 nucleotides long. RefSeq lists it as uncharacterized. Lineage: Eukaryota; Viridiplantae; Streptophyta; Magnoliopsida; Poales; Poaceae. The transcript is spliced from 5 exons. The record is from RefSeq and is a predicted model, not a curated record.